Molecule: ribosomal RNA, 351 nt
Filed under: Triticum aestivum (bread wheat)
Lineage: Eukaryota; Viridiplantae; Streptophyta; Magnoliopsida; Poales; Poaceae
Description: partial small subunit ribosomal RNA
Source: RNAcentral
AUGUCUUUGAUAAUUAGGUAUGUUGAUGCAUCUUCUGGUUCUUUUUGCAUUGAGGAAUCAUUCUUAGGUUUUUUGGAUGUGAAUGAUACCACCGGGCAAGGAUUGUUUGAUGUUCUAAAAAAUGAAUUGAAAAGUCUUGACCUUGAUAUUGAUAAUCUGAGAGGGCAGGGAUAUGAUAAUGGGUCAAAUAUGAAAGGAAGACAUCAAGGGGUAAAAAGUAAAGUUUUGGAAAUAAACCGGAGAGCUUUUUAUUCGGCUUGUGGUUGCCAUAGUCUAAAUUUGACAUUAUGUGAUAUGGCAAAGUCUUGUCGUAAAGCAUCUGAUUUUUUUGGCAUUAUUCAACGCAUCUAC